Molecule: non-coding RNA, 208 nt
Filed under: Scleropages formosus (Asian bonytongue)
Lineage: Eukaryota; Metazoa; Chordata; Actinopteri; Osteoglossiformes; Osteoglossidae
Description: Eukaryotic large subunit ribosomal RNA
Rfam family: Eukaryotic large subunit ribosomal RNA
Source: Rfam by way of RNAcentral
CUUUGUGGGUUUCAAGCUGGAUGUGUCAGAACAGUUAACACAAGGAUAAUUGGCUUGUGGCAGCCAAGCAUUCAUAGUGACAUUGCAUUUUAAUCCUUAAAUGUCAUUUCUUCUUAUCAUUGUGAAGCAGAAUUGACCAAGUGUUGGAUUGUUCACCCACUAAUAGGGAACAUGAGCUAGUUUUAGACCAUUGUGAGAGAGGUUAGUU